GGCUGUAGUACCUGGACGUGGAGGUGGUGACUGCAGCAGCGGUUCCGGAAGUUCUGUGGCCGGCGGAGGCCGAUGUGACGUCAUCGAUGCCCAAAUAUUCUUACAGUGAGCGUUUGCCACAUUGCCCAGGAAAAAGAACAAGCGCAACUCUACUCUUAUCCUAAGAAAUCAUUGUCACUUGAUGUAGCAUUUGCAACUGACAUUGGAACUCAGCAAAUAUUAAGAAACCUAAGACAAAGGAACAAGACAUCUACGUGACCAGUAGAGCACCAGUGGAUGGAAUGUUCCGGAUAAUAAAGAGGCACCCGCAACUGCAGUAAACCCUGACCAAACCACAUUUCAAGACAUCAACAACCGUCAAAAGCUUUACGUGAAAACAUCAACACACUUCCCAAAAUCAAAGUAAAAACACACAGGCUGUCAAAGUCUACAGUCAGCAAGAUGCAGAUUUGUGCAGCACAUUCUGAUGAUUUACAGACAUUUGUUUUGAGUCCACGCAAGUCCUAUUACUGUUACUUCGUAAUACAUAAAUCACAAAAUGUGAUAAUUUCUAACUCACUUUGUCAUGUUGGGCUUAGAUAUCACUUUACUAUGAGCUGAUACUACAUUAAGGAAUGGGUCACAGACACAUAAAUCAAAAGAGAUUUUAAAAAAGCAAGGCUAUUAGUAUGAUAUACACCACUUACAAAGCCAGUUGUUUACAGUGCUACGAUAACAGAAAAUACUGAAGUUUUGUGGAAAGUUUACAACUAAUUGGUUUGCUUACAAUACAGAGCAAUCACUUAAAAAUGGGAAUGAUUCCCUAUUUUACCCAUUCCAGUACGUUCAUGGUCAAAUCAUGUUUCCAUAGUGGUACAGUUCAUAUUGCUAUGUAAGCAAGUAAAAGGGAAAGGAUGCAAUGGUUGAGAUGAAGGACAAUCUAGAAGAUUGUUGAGAGGAAAUUUGGUAGACUGGCUGUAUGUUUGCUAUGCGAGCAUAGGACCCAGUAUACUGGAAGUGAUGUAUAGGAAUUGGAUAGAAUUCAAAUUUAAAAACUAAUUAGCUGAAAUGCUUACUGCCAAAACCAGCUCACGUGAUUUAGUUAAAAAACAAGUCACAAUCUCACUUAAUAGCAAAUAUGUGCCUUGACUAUUAAAUGCUCAGUAAUAGGCAGUGGGCUAUUAUGGAAUCCUAUUGCAAAAUAUUUUAAAUAUCAACACAAUUUUUCAUGGAUUAGCCAAGGUAAGUACUGCUGUGCAGAGAUUCCUUGCCAUUAAUUGGACCUAUUUUACAUUUUUAUAUCAAGUGCAGUCCUGUUUGAAUAUAUUUAACAUAAAUUUAAAUACAACUUUGAGCAAUAUGGAAAGAAAUGUUUUCUAUCUCAUUUCAGCAGGUGAUGAAGCCUGACCUUCCUGAAUAUUGCCAAUUUUCUGGGUGGAGAGGUCAGAAAGAUGAGGGAUGAUUUGUCUGGUCUCUGCCCCCUUUACAAUGAACUGGGAAUUCUCAGACUUCCCUAGGGAAUGUGUGAGAUCAGGAAUAGAAUAAACAUGCCUGCAGGCAGCACUUUUUUUAAUCAGUGGAAAUGUAUAUCAGGGUGGCUUUAUAACAACUUCACUGCGAAUUGGUGUGGGUAAAAAUUCCCCAUCUCUGGUCAAGCACAAUCACCUUGGCAUUUCAUAACUUGUUGGAAUAUCCACUUGAGCAUAUAGGUACAAAGACACACCCUAUAGCUGUACCUGGAGGACUAUAUGUCAUUUUAUUGUCUUUCUAAGGAAAAUGUUAUGUGCAAUGUUGUGCUUUUUUAAAAAUCUAAUGUUCAAAAUAAAAUAAAUAUUAUCAGUUCCCUUUCAAAAAAAGUUCCUUUACGAAAUGGCCUGUCAUGCUGUCUUUAAAACGCAACCUUAGAAAUCAUUGUUUAUGAUUUCAACAGAUGGGCAUCCUGUGACUUUGUCGGAUAUUUGUAUCUAUUUAAAAUAAGUGAUUAAUAUGUCAUAAUAAAGAUAUUACAGUAUCAUAUGAAUGAACUACACAUCAUGAUCAGUAAAGUUUAGAUUAAUUGUACUUCUUAAAGAAAGGUCUUGAUUCUUUUUAAAUAGAAGAGUGAGUAGAUGCAAUAGUACUGUAUUAUUACGGAAAGGAAAAAUCAUUUUAAAAAUGAAAUUUGCAUGUGUGUACCAUUAGUGAAU
Long non-coding RNA from Stegostoma tigrinum, 2165 nucleotides. RefSeq lists it as uncharacterized. Lineage: Eukaryota; Metazoa; Chordata; Chondrichthyes; Orectolobiformes; Stegostomatidae. The record is from RefSeq and is a predicted model, not a curated record. The transcript has 4 exons.